RNAcentral lists this ribosomal RNA (253 nucleotides) under uncultured bacterium. RNAcentral's name for it is "partial 16S ribosomal RNA". It matches the Rfam family "Bacterial small subunit ribosomal RNA", at positions 524 to 776 of the family's 1533-position model. The record is from RNAcentral.
UACGGGGGGGGCAAGCGUUGUUCGGAAUUACUGGGCGUAAAGGGCUCGUAGGUGGCCAACUAAGUCAGACGUGAAAUCCCUCAGCUUAACUGGGGAACUGCGCCUGAUACUGGAUGGCUUGAGUUUGGGAGAGGGAUGCGGAAUUCCAGGUGUAGCGGUGAAAUGCGUAGAUAUCUGGAGGAACACCGGUGGCGAAGGCGGCAUCCUGGACCAACACUGACACUGAGGAGCGAAAGCCAGGGGAGCAAACGGG